Molecule: transfer RNA, 96 nt
Filed under: Ooceraea biroi (clonal raider ant)
Lineage: Eukaryota; Metazoa; Arthropoda; Insecta; Hymenoptera; Formicidae
Rfam family: tRNA
About the family: Transfer RNA (tRNA) molecules are approximately 80 nucleotides in length.
Source: Rfam by way of RNAcentral
CCUUCGAUAGCUCAGUUGGUAGAGCGGUGGACUGUAGUUUGUGAAAUUCCUGAGAGAGACAUCCAUAGGUCGCUGGUUCGAAUCCGGCUCGAAGGA